GUGUUCCAGAUGAUUGUUGACGGUCACAGGAGGGAGGAGAGGAGGAGCAAGGAGGUGGGCUGCCAGUGGGAGAGCCCCGAGGAGGACAGGAAGGAGGUGGGCUGUCAGAGCCAGGCGGUGGAGAGGAGGGACGCCGCCGUCCAGGUGGAUCUGCUGACUCAGCAGCUGAGCUGGAGACACUCAGGUGUUUCCUGGCACUGCGGCGCCAUCCGGGUGGAUGAACCAGCAGGGGGCAUUCUGCUGCAGCUCUGCAGGGGUCACACGUCACGCUGUGUUCCCUGCGCCACCGACCGCCCUGCCCUGCUACCCAGUGUGCCUCUGUUCUCCGAGCACGAGUCGUCUCCUUCAACCAGCAUGCCUCCCCUGACUCCUGUGGACGUCUCGGCUGCUCCUCCUGGACUCAUCGCUCCCCUGAGCCCGGGGCUGGCCGAAGACGAGGAGCAGGAAGAGGAGCAGGAGGUGCACGUACCUGAGGAGGAGCGACUCUGCUCUGAGAACAUGGCAUUUAAAGAAAAGAAGAAGAUGGAGGGGGGGAGGUGGCCUGAUGGAGGUGAAAGACAAAAGUCAUCACUGGCUGACAAAUCGACCAAUCACAUCGCAGGAAAACCACCCGGGAAGAGGAGGAGACUAAAGAUGAAACUUCUGGAGAAGGAUGAGGAGUCCCACACCAGCAAGCGAGGAGAGAAACAAACAACCCGGAUCCAAGAGAGGAAGAAGAACGAGGGGCAGGAGGAGGAGGAGAGGGGAGGGGAGGAGACCAUGAAAGAAGGGGGAAGAGUCAAAUCUGUCAUAAUGAAGACUGAGGAGGCGGAGUGUCAGAGACCGAGGAGGAGGAUGGUCGGUCCGACAGUCAGAUACCUGCUGGAGUCUGAGCAGCAGUCACAUGGGCCAACAGAGGCCAAUCACAGCAGAGCAAGCAGAGACGUGGGGAGGAGGAAGACGGGGAGGCCGAAGAAGGAGCAGAAGGAGCUGGAUGACAGCAGCACAAUGGAGUCCUCAGCAGACGGAGGAGCAGAGAGAUGGUGGAAGCUCUGCCAGGUGUGUGGUCUGAACUUCACCAGCCAGCCGUCUCUGGAUCUCCAUCUGUCCGUCCACAGACCGGCUUUGAGCUGCGCACAAGCUGCUGCUGACCAACAGCAAGAACAAACCAAUGACGCGAAGGGUGAUGCAGAGGAGAGGGAGGAGCCUCAGAGGCCAAGGAGGACAGUCUGCCAACCAAUCAGGUACCUACUGGAGUCAUCACAUGGUUCUGUAACAGCCAAUCAGACCAAUCGGGAGGCAGCUACCAAACCCACAAGAAGGAGAGGAAGAUCAAAAGAUGCUGUUGGGGGCAGGGCUUCAGAGGUGAUUGACAGGCCUGAGACUAAUGCUAAAGACACAGGUCACAUGGUCACAACAGGAGGAAGAGAGGAAGGAGAGGAGGAGCCUUACAGGCCAAAGAGGACGUUGGUUGGCCUCCUGGAGUCAGAGGAAACAUCAGGUGGUCUCAGAAUCUCCAAUCAGGACGCAGAAAACAAACCCACACAGUACAGGGGAAGAUCAAAAAAUGUUUUUGACUUCAAUGAGGCUGGGGGCGGGGCUUCAAAGAUGACUGACUGUUCUGAUACUGAAGAUAAAGAAAUGGGUCACACGGUCUCAACGGGAGGAAGACAGGAAGAGGAGGAGCCUCAGAGACCAGGAAAGACGGCGUCUGUCUUCCACCCGUCUGUCCACAGACCAAAGCGACUGUUCGGCUGUCACCUCUGCAACAGGAAGUUCAGCCGUGCCAGCAGACUGUUCCGGCACCAAUGUAAUCAGCACCACAGCAAUAUAGGUGGUCUCUGCGGCAAUGGAUGUGGAUCGGCCCUGAGCAACGCCCGAGCUCCUAAAAACAAACAGGAAAAACAGACCACCCAGGAUGACAAGGAGGAGCCUCAGAGGCCCAGGAAGCCCCUCUUCACAGCACCCACCGGGGCUCCUUAUUGGUCAAGAGACAUAAAUCGUGUGAGAAAAAGUCCCAGCUGGUUGGUCGACUACUGGACCCUGAACAAGAGGAGGAAUGGAAGGAGGGGGACGAAGAGGAGCAGAGUGGAGGAGGACGACGAGGAAAGGGAGGCGCAACAAGUCUGUGUGGAGAAGGAGGAGGGGCCUCAGAGGCCAAGGAGGACGACUGUUGGCCCACCAAUCAGGUACCUGCUGGAGUCAGAGGUGACAACAAGGGGUUCUGGAAAAGCCAAUCAGACCAAUCAGAAGGCAGCUAACAAACACACAAGGAGAGGAAGAGCAAAAGACUCUGUUGGUGGUGGGGCUUCAAAGAUGACUGACUCUUCUGACAUUGAAGAUAAAGACACAGGUCACAUGGUCUCAAUGGGAGGAACACAGGAAGAGGAGCCUCAGAGACCAGGAACGACAGUCAGUCCACCAGUCAGGUACCUGCUGGAGUCGGAGGUAAUGUCACAUGAUUCUGGAACAGCCAAUCAGAAUGAUCAGGAGGCAGUUAUCAAACUCACAAGAAGGAGAGGAAGAUCAGAUGCUGUUGUCCUCUGUGAGGCUGGGGGCGGGGCUUCAGAGAUGAUUGACAGGCUUGACGCUAAAGAUAAAGACAGAAGUCACGUGGUUGUAAAGGGCAGAAGAAAGGAAGACGAGAAGAUGGAGGAGCCUCAGAGGCCGAGGAGGACGAUGGUCGGCCCACCAAUCAGGUACCUGCUGGAGUCAGAAGAGCUGUCAUGUGGUCAAAGAACAGCUAAUCAGGACACAGAAAACAAACCCACACACAGCAGACGGAGCCCAAAAAAGGCGUCUGUCCUCCACAGACCGAAGCGAGUGUUCGGCUGUCACAUCUGCAACAGAAAGUUCAGCCGUGCCAGCAGACUGUUCCUGCAUCAUUGCGAUCAGCACCGCAGCAUCUUAGACAGUCCCCACGGCAACAGAGUUGGCAUGGCCAUGAGCAGUGCUCGAGCUUCUGAUAGCAAACUGAAAGAAGGAACCCAGGGUAACGACGAGAAUGGGGAGGAGUCUCAGCGGCAGCGGAGGACUAGAGUUGGCCCACCAAUCAGAUACCUGCUGGAGUCAGAGGAGCCGUCACGUGGUCUUAGAGCAGCCAAUCAGAGUGCAGCAACCAAACCCACACAAAGGAAAGGAAGAAUGAAGGCUGGUGGCCUCACUAAGGCUGGGGGCGGGACUUCACAGAUAAUUGAUAGGUUUGAGGCUGCUGUUGCCACAGAGAGACAGACAGGUGUGCACAGACAGACUUACCUGGUUCACAGAGACCUGCAGGAUGGUCAGGUGACUAUCUCCCCCUGCUCUGUCACAAUGCAGCGCCUCCUCUGA
RNAcentral lists this long non-coding RNA (3309 nucleotides) under Oreochromis niloticus (Nile tilapia). RNAcentral's name for it is "lncRNA (ENSONIG00000023844.2)". Lineage: Eukaryota; Metazoa; Chordata; Actinopteri; Cichliformes; Cichlidae. The record is from RNAcentral.